GACGAACGCUGGCGGCGUGCUUAACACAUGCAAGUCGAACGAUGACGACCGAGCUUGCUCGGUCUGAUUAGUGGCGAACGGGUGAGUAACACGUGAGCAACCUGCCCUUCACUCUGGGAUAACCUCGGGAAAUCGGGGCUAAUACCGGAUAUGAGCUCCUGUCGCAUGGCGGGGGUUGGAAAGUUUUUCGGUGAAGGAUGGGCUCGCGGCCUAUCCGUUUGUUGGUGAGGUAGUGGCUCACCAAGGCGAUGACGGGUAGCCGGCCUGGGAGGGCGACCGGCCACACUGGAACUGGGACGCGGCCCAGACCCCUACGGGAGGCAGCAGUGGGGAAUAUUGCACAAUGGGCGAAGGCCUGAUGCAGCGACGCCGCGUGGGGGAUGACGGCCUUCGGGUUGUAAACCUCUUUCAGCAGGGAAGAAGCGAAAGUGACGGUACCGGCAGAAGAAGCGCCGGCUAACUACGU
RNAcentral lists this ribosomal RNA (466 nucleotides) under uncultured bacterium. RNAcentral's name for it is "partial 16S ribosomal RNA". It matches the Rfam family "Bacterial small subunit ribosomal RNA", at positions 28 to 506 of the family's 1533-position model. The record is from RNAcentral.